RNA transcript from Panthera uncia (snow leopard), 4282 nucleotides. It is a transcript of the gene named selenoprotein T, with no coding region annotated. NCBI's taxonomy places the organism in Eukaryota, Metazoa, Chordata, Mammalia, Carnivora, Felidae. The record is from RefSeq and is a predicted model, not a curated record. The transcript has 7 exons.
CGGAUCGCGCCUGCGCGGUGGGGAGCUGCUCGCGGCUCCCGCUCGGCCUUGGGCUGGCUGCAGUCUCAGUUUGAGGGCGGCCGAAGUGGCUGGCUCGAUUAAGAUGAGGUUUCUGCUAGUUCUCCUGGUGGCGGCGUCGGCGGUGAUCCGGAGCGAUGCCUCGGCCAACCUGGGCGGCGUGCCUAGCAAAAGAUUAAAGAUGCAGUACGCCACGGGGCCGCUGCUCAAGUUCCAGAUUUGUGUUUCCUGAGGUUAUAGGCGGGUGUUUGAGGAGUACAUGCGGGUUAUAAGCCAGCGGUACCCAGACAUCCGCAUUGAAGGAGAAAAUUACCUCCCUCAACCCAUAUAUAGACACAUAGCAUCUUUCCUGUCAGUCUUCAAACUAGUAUUAAUAGGCUUAAUAAUUGUUGGCAAGGAUCCUUUUGCUUUCUUUGGCAUGCAAGCUCCUAGCAUCUGGCAGUGGGGCCAAGAAAAUAAGGUCUAUGCAUGUAUGAUGGUUUUCUUCUUGAGCAACAUGAUUGAGAACCAGUGUAUGUCAACAGGUGCAUUUGAGAUAACUUUGAAUGAUGUGCCUGUGUGGUCCAAGCUGGAAUCUGGUCACCUCCCAUCCAUGCAACAGCUUGUUCAAAUUCUUGACAAUGAAAUGAAGCUCAAUGUGCAUAUGGAUUCAAUCCCACAUCACCGAUCAUAGCCCAACCUAUCAGCACUGAAAACUCUUUUCUAGGAUGCACCGGAAUUUUCCAAAUCACCCAAACCAAUAAAAAGGCCAGGGAGUGCAGGAGACACCAGGAGGAAAGGCAAGUUUGCAUGACAAAUUCUUACCCUCACAUAAACAGAUGCAAGCCACAGAUUGAUUCAGCCUGUUUCCCCACCUUCCCUAAAAGUGGAUUUAUGAAUUGCGGUUUUUCUGACCACUUACCCUCUUCACUGCUUAUGUGAUAAUUGCAAAGCAUAUGGAGAGAUUUCCAUUUACGUGUCCUAGGCAAGGAGGUUACCUCCUGCAUAAGAUGAGUUUAAAAACACCACGCCUGCCUCUGAGCUGGAGUUUGGAUCGUAUGUUCUCUUCAAGUUCUUGGAUUUUUAAUUCACCAAAGAUUCUGCAUUCCACGAGAAUUCUCCAUUCUCAGUGCUUCUGCUGAGGAACAGGUCUGCCUGGGACCGGGGCUUGAUGUGACCCAUUGCAAAACAAUUUUGUUGACCUCUUUUAGUUUAAAAUCCAUGUGAAAGAUUUUGUUUCACUCCAAGUUGUUGAUGUUCGUUUUAACAAGAAUAUUUAUUUUUAACUUCCUAAAGCUUCAAGCAAAAUUCAUCCCCUUAAAAAAUUGUGUUUCUCCUGAGGCUGUGUGUAACUCCUCCAUGGCAUCUUAUUUCUCUUGGGGGAGCGUGCGUGUGUGUACACAUCAUCCUAAGAAACAGAGUGAGCUACGUUAGAGGCUCGUUUCCUUUAAACUUCUAUAAACUUUCUGUCCAGUCUGUAGUAAAGCGCCAUGCUUAAGAAUUACUAUAGUGACUGAAGGAGUAGGUUCCAGGAAAUUUGUACCCAGAAGACGCAUGUGGAAAGAUCCUGAGAAGCACAACUCCAAGUUAUAAAAUGUUGAAGAGUGUUACGAUACCAAAAAGCUAAGUAAAUACCGUACAGAGUAACGUAAUGACAAACAUGCUGGAACAAAAGCCUCUGAAAGCCUUGAGGGAGGCAAAAAUGGUAGCCCAGUAAGUGCUGCCUGUGAAUGAGUAGGUGGAUGAAUGAAUGGGUUUUGUUAAGGCAGUGGCUCUCGACUGUGGGGGUUUUAUUCUCUAGGGGACGUUGGUGAGAUACUUUUGAUGACACGACUGGGAGGCAGGGUGUGUUGCUCCCAGCAGCCGUGAGCAGAGCCAGAGAUGCCGCAGAUUAACCCACAGUGUCCAAGGCAAGCUUCCACCACAACAGAGAAUCUGGUCCAAAAUGUCAGUAGGGCCGGUGUUGAGAACUCUGGGUUACAGUUAGAGUGGGACAAGGGUGCUGGGAAAUGCGAAGAAGAAGACUGAGCAACAGACUAGUCAGGAGACACACUCGGGGACAUCUGCUCAUGCAGAGUGACUCAGAAUGGAGCCUCACAACCACAGCCUCCAGCUGGGACCUGGGAGGGGAAGUGCCUUAGCUCAGCCAGCCCCUUGGGGUGGGGGAGGACAGCCCUUUUCUAACUGAGCCUGAAAGGGAUUUGCUGUCAGCGAGGCCUGGUGUGCUCUCAGAGCAUCCCCUUUGCCUCUUUGAGAUGUUUUCUGUGUUUACAUUUAAAAUUACCUUCACAGAGGAAGCCUUUCAUUCCAAUAAUGAAAUAAAGGCUAAAUUGGAGGUGACAAACAUUUUCAUGGGAAAGACUGUCAAAUGUAACAAGCCAACGAAUAAAUUGCCCUUAUUAAAUCCUUUUUCUUUUUGAAUAGGAAAAAAUGUCACAGAACUUUGCUUACUGUUGGUAGUGGCCCACCCCGGAGGACAGAAGUGGGUACAGAAAGGCUUCAGUGUUUCCCACGGAAGUUCCUGUUUCCUUGGAAUGUGUGCUAAAGCGAAGCUUUGAAAUACAUAACCUAAGGAGGUGGGGGGGUGGGGGUGCCCGUGGGCGGGGAGAUUGAUUUUGGGGAGGUUUCCCCCUCCUCCUCCCUGAAGUAUUUGCAUUAAUUAGUUGGAUGGUAAGAAGUGAUAACAUUCCAUACCACUGGAGUCCAGAAAUGUUUUCCAAUAAUUACAAUGUAUUUUAAUCAUCUGGGCCUCUACCUUUCCUUAGGCUGACUGAGGCGGGGGAAGUAGCUUUAGAGUCUGCACUGAGAGCCAAGCAAAUCCGCACUUUCGGUUUUAGAGUAAUUUCAUCACCUUCAAGAGAACCUCCAAUACGAUUAUAAUUAGAACUGGCUGGAGCAGACAUCCUUGAAUAUUCCUGAUUUUGGUGGAAAGCAUCUAGUCUUUCACCUUUAAGUCUGAUACUAGCUGUGAAGUACCUAGAGAUGUCCUCUAUCAAGGUGAGGAAGUGCCCGUUUUUUCUGCGGUUAUUAAAAUGAUAUUUUCUCUUUAUUCUAUGUUAUUGUCUGUUACAUUAAUUGAUUUUCAGAUGUUAAGCCAACCUUAUAUUCUUCGAAUAAAUUUCACUUGGUCACGAUGUAUAAUCUUUUUUAUAUGUUGCUGGAUUCGGUUUGCUAGCAUUGGUUGAGAAUUUUUACAUCCGUAUUUCCAAGCCACAUAGAUCUUUAGUUUCUUUUCUUGUGCAAUUUUUGUCCAAUUGGCUAUCAGGGUAAUACUGGCCUCAUAAAAUGGGUUAGGAAGUGUCUGUUCCUCUUCUGUUUUUUGGAACAACUUGUGAAGAAUUCGUAUUCUUCUCUGCAUGUUUGGUAAAAAUUUACCAUUGCUGCUCUUUUCUUUGGGCCUGAGCUUUGUAGAAAGUUAAAAAUUACUGAUUUGAUCUCUUUACUUAUUAUAAACCAAGUCCCAUUUUCCAUUUCCUUUUUUGAAUUUUUUUAAUGUUUAUUUAUUUUUGAGAGACAGAGAGAGACAGAGUGCAAUUGGGGGAGGUGCAGAGAGAGAGGGAGACAGAAUCCAAAGCAGGCUCCAGGCUCCAUACUGUCAGCACAGAGCCUGAUGUGGGACUCAAACUCUUGAAUUGCAAGAUCAUGACCUGAGCCGAAGUCAGACGCUUAACUGACUGAACCACCCAGGCGCGCCUCUUUUAUGUCAGUUUCAGCAUUUUGUGUAUUCCUGGCAAUUUCUCCAUUUCAUUUAAACUACCUGAUGUUAGUAUACAGUUGUUCGUAGUUUUCCCUUAUAAUCCUUUUUAUUUCUGUAAGUUUGGUAAAUGUCCUCUCUUCCUGUUUGAAGUAAUUUGAGCCUUCUCUCUUUUCCCUUGGCUAGUCUAGCUAAAGUUUUGUCAAUUUUGUCUGUCUUUUCAAAGAACCAAAUUUUGGUUUCAUUGAUUUUUUUUUUCUACUGCUUUUCUACCUUGUGGAAACCAGUAAUAAAGAGAAAAGUCUUUAAAACAGCCAGUGGAAAACAAGACACAUUGAUUACAGAGGAAGAGGUAGCCUUGCAAUAUAGGAGAUAAUAUAAUAGCACUACACUUAAAAUGGAUGCAUUGAUUCUUUUUAAAAGUUGAUUAAACAAACAAAAAAAUCACAUUUUCUUUGAGUCUGAGGUUGUCAGUUUGAUGUCUGCAUGAGACCGUAUGCUUUACCAGGAAAAACGCUUCUUCCGUCCCUGAAUUCCUAGACAACCACUGUGUCCCUGAGUUCUUCAUAGUAGAGGUGGUGAUUUUUCUUU